RNAcentral lists this ribosomal RNA (437 nucleotides) under uncultured bacterium. RNAcentral's name for it is "bacterial SSU rRNA". It matches the Rfam family "Bacterial small subunit ribosomal RNA", at positions 958 to 1392 of the family's 1533-position model. The record is from RNAcentral.
AACGCGAAGAACCUUACCUGGCCUUGAUAUCCUAAGAAUCCUGUAGAGAUACGGGAGUGCUAGUUUACUAGAACUUAGAGACAGGUGCUGCACGGCUGUCGUCAGCUCGUGUCGUGAGAUGUUGGGUUAAGUCCCGCAACGAGCGCAACCCUCGUGAUUAGUUGCUAACAGUUCGGCUGAGCACUCUAAUCAGACUGCCUUCGCAAGGAGGAGGAAGGUGAGGACGACGUCAAGUCAUCAUGGCCCUUAUGGCCAGGGCUACACACGUGCUACAAUGGCUAGGACAAAGAGACGCGAUACUGCGAAGUGGAGCAAAUCUUAAAACCUAGUCUCAGUUCGGAUUGGAGUCUGCAACUCGACUCCAUGAAGCUGGAAUCGCUAGUAAUCGUAGAUCAGAUAUGCUACGGUGAAUACGUUCCCGGGCCUUGUACACACCG